UACGUAGGGUGCGAGCGUUGUCCGGAAUUAUUGGGCGUAAAGAGCUCGUAGGCGGUCUGUCGCGUCGGAUGUGAAAAUCAGGGCUCAACCCUGGACCUGCAUUCGAUACGGGCAGACUAGAGUUCGGCAGGGGAGACUGGAAUUCCUGGUGUAGCGGUGAAAUGCGCAGAUAUCAGGAGGAACACCGGUGGCGAAGGCGGGUCUCUGGGCCUGUCCUGACGCUCAGGCGCGAAAGCUAGGGGAGCAAACAGG
RNAcentral lists this ribosomal RNA (252 nucleotides) under uncultured bacterium. RNAcentral describes it as "partial 16S ribosomal RNA". It matches the Rfam family "Bacterial small subunit ribosomal RNA", at positions 524 to 776 of the family's 1533-position model. The record is from RNAcentral.